RNAcentral lists this long non-coding RNA (1348 nucleotides) under Chrysemys picta bellii (western painted turtle). Its description in RNAcentral is "lncRNA (ENSCPBG00000007811.1)". The record is from RNAcentral. Lineage: Eukaryota; Metazoa; Chordata; Testudines; Emydidae.
UAUUGCCCACUGCAUAAUUCCAAUGAGGAACUCUUCCCAUAGUUAGUUUUCUCGUGCAGUCCAAACUCAUUGAACUUAACUCCUGGAGCACAUGUUCUUCUUCAGGCCCUAGCUCUCCACUUCAACACUGGUAGCUCCAUCUUACACCCUGUGCUCUACUUCCUUGCCAUCCCUGAGGACAUCUUCCUAACCUGUUGCAUUGAUUUUAUACAUACACAUUAUAUAUGUGGGUUUCAAAUAUUUACAGAUCUCUCUGUAUAGGACUGCUUUUGUGUGAGUGUGUGUUGUUAUGGGUUGGGUUAAACCUCGCUUAAGCUGGUGAGUGUAACAGUCAUCUUUCAUUCAGGAGAAGUGUAAAAAGCAAUUGAGCUACUUUAUGGAACCAGAUAGCAGAAAACUAUAGGAGCACCACCCAAAAUAGUGGCAGAUUGCAAGACUCCAGUAGAAACUAUCAUAGAACUGAAGGUUUUUUCCUGGGGCUGAUAUAGCAAGUGCAGGGGCUAGGUAUUGAUUAGUGGAGGUGUGCGUGAGAGAAGCAGCAAGAAAUGCCAGAGAAACAGAGGAGAAGAAAGCCAAGGACACAGAAGCAUUGGUAGCACGGCCCUGAGAAAAAACUUAGUGAGAGAACUUUUGGGGUACAAGGAUGGUUGAGAAGAGUCUUGGAACUGUGAGCAAAGAAAGGAUCUUGCUAGAUUCCUAUUGUGUUUAGGGAAACAGGGCUUUGUGUACAUUCUUUGUAAAUAAACAGGAUGCCAUCAAAGAAACACCUGACUCCAUCAUCAAUUUCUCCUCCAAAUGGAAACAACCCUAGACCUAAUUUUUCAAUAAGUACUCAGGUGUAACAGUGUUCUAAAUGCAUGUCCCCACAUGCAUACAUUCGUGAGAUAAUAUACACAGAAAACCAAAUCAGAUGCAGGGAGAUGUGCAAUAUUCUAAACUCACAAACACAUCACAGAUUAUCACCACCUACCUUGUCCUCUUAUCAACAUCUUCGUGCCACCACUUUUUAGCACAAAAGUCAUGUUCUUAACGAGAGCCACUGGGAGAGAAAUACACAAAAUUCAUUCACAAACACAUGCAGCUCAUUAUAAGUUUAGCACUAUAAAUACAAGUAAUACUUUGUAUCGAAGUGCAUCUGUGGCUCCUCCACCGCUCACCUAUGAACCUUAGUGGAAUAUGGUUUUGAAUUUAAAGGAAGCACAAACUUUUUUAGGUGGGGGAUGUACGUAAUUUGGGUUCUUUUCCCACUUUUACAAAAAGAUAAAUUGCUAUUUAAAUUACAAGUUUUACAUUGUAUUUGAGAUAGGAAAAUGCCAUAAAUUGUAACUUCACCCAAGGGUCCUGUGGA